GAUGAACGCUGGCGGCGUGCCUAAUACAUGCAAGUCGAGCGAACGGACGAGAAGCUUGCUUCUCUGAUGUUAGCGGCGGACGGGUGAGUAACACGUGGAUAACCUACCUAUAAGACUGGGAUAAUUUCGGGAAACCGGAUCUACUACCGGAUAAUAUUUUGAACCUCAUGGUUCAAAAGUGAAAUACGGUCUUGCCGUCACUUAUAGAUGGACCCGCGCUGCAUUAGCUAGUUGGUAAGGUAACGGCUUACCAAGGCAACGAUGGAGAGGCGACCUGAGAGAGAGAUCGCCAACAAUGCAACUGAGGCGCGUUCCAGACCCCAAAGGGAGGCAGCAGGAGGACAUCUGCCGCAAGGGGCGAUGGCCUAACGGGGCAACUCCGCUUGAGUGAUGAAGGUCUUUGGUUCGUAAGACCAUAUUAUUGGAGAAGAACAUAUGUGUAAGUCACUGUGCGAAUCUGGCCGUUACCUAAGAAGAAAGCCGCGGUAAACUCCGU
Molecule: ribosomal RNA, 496 nt
Filed under: uncultured bacterium
Lineage: Bacteria
Description: partial 16S ribosomal RNA
Rfam family: Bacterial small subunit ribosomal RNA
Source: RNAcentral